RNAcentral lists this long non-coding RNA (1517 nucleotides) under Bos grunniens (domestic yak). RNAcentral's name for it is "lncRNA (ENSBGRG00000014236.1)". Lineage: Eukaryota; Metazoa; Chordata; Mammalia; Artiodactyla; Bovidae. The record is from RNAcentral.
GGAGACAGCUCCUCCUUAUGGCUUGGAUGGAGGGUCAAUAGAGGACACAUGUGCCCGGCAGGCUUUUGUUCUGAUAAGAUGGCAGGCAUGCACAGAAACAUUUGCAGGAUUACGUCUCCGUGUAAAUAUAUGACAGUCCUCUCUACUCUCUUUCCUAAGAAGCACCUUUCGUCUUUUGCUCAAUACUUGAGAGGACCCUCCAAGAUGACCUAUGGGCUCCUACAACAUUUUUACAAGCAACUGAGAGAAGACUCCUCUCCUCCUCUGCUAAUUCGGCUCCUGACUCAGUUGCAGACUUCAUGCAGGCUGCCAUGUCAUCAUAUCGCUCAGCCUGCUCUGCCAGUUUGGCCUUCUGUACCAGCUCAUUUUUAUCCAUGACAGGAUGUUCUGUGUCUGAAGUGGAUGGUGGCAGAUGGGCAGGACUUUGACGGGACAUAUUUUAUACCUGCUUUAUAGGUUUUCAUGCUUAGAGAACAAAGUUCUAUGCUGGGAGAUCUAAGUCCCUUGUCUGUUCAGUGGAUUAUCAUGUAGAGGAUCAGAUUAUAUGCUUGGAAAGGUAAAAUUAGACCUAAAUCAGAUUAUAUGCUUGGAGAGGUAAUACUAGACCUAAAAAAACCUAAAUCAAUGCUUGACAGUCCAUAUUUCAUAUAGGAGUAUCAGGUUCUAUGCUUGGAGAUUGAGAUUCCAUACGUGGAUUUUCUGUUUCCACCUUGAAGAAUAGGUUCCAUGUCUUACAUUUUUAAGAGAAUCAACUUCUCAUUUCCUAAAUUCUGAAAGUACUCUUUCUUAAAAUUAAUUUGCCUUGUAGCAUGUCUGAAGUCAAGGUAUUAUAGUGGCUCACUUUUCUACUUCCUCUUUCAGAAUUGCUAUCCUCCAUUUUACUAAAAAUGAAUGAAUGAAAAAAUGAAUGGUGAACACUCUUACUGAACUUAACUGUAGUGCCUUGUCCUCGGGUGAAAUAACCUCCAGGGCAGUGAUGGGCAAUUCAACAUUUUGUAGUUAGGGAAGCUUUCUUUAGGCAAGAUAAUGUAAACCUACAUUGGGCUUGUGUUUCUUUUUUUAUCUUAUCCAUAUUUCUGAUAAGGGUGACUUAUAGACAGUGUGGAUCACAACAGUCUGUGGAAAAUUCUUAAAGAGAGGGAAUACCAGACCACCUUACCUGCCUCCUGAGAAAUCUGUAUGCAAGUUAAGAAGCAACAGUUAGAACUGGACAUGGAACAAUGGACUGGUUCCAAAUUGGGAAAAGAGUACAUCAAGGUUGUAUAUUGUCAACCUGCUUAUUUAACUUAUAUGGAGAGUACAUCAUGAGAAAUGCCAGGCAUGAAGCACAGGCUUGAAUCAAGAUUGCCGGGAGAAAUAUCAAUAACCUCAGAUACACAGAUGACACCACCCAUAUGGCAGAAAGUGAAGAAGAACUAAAGAGCCUCUUGAUGAAAGUGAAAGAGGAAAGUGAAAAACCUGUCUUAAAACUGAACAUUCAAAAAACUAAGAUCAUGGCAACCGUUCCCAUCACUUCA